UAUUUUCUUUUGCUUUCUUCCCUCCCUCUUUGUCUCUUCUCUUCCUUUUUGUUUCUUUUUUUUCUCUGUAUAUCUAUAUGCAUAAAAUAUGUAUAUAUACAAAUGUAUGUAUUUGUGCGUGAGUGCGUGUGAGAGAAAUAAAUAAUUAUAAUCCAAAUCCAAAAAGACCCAUAACAAGACUGAAAUGCUAAAAUAAUAUUUUUUGUCUGAUUGUUAAGUACAUUUUUCAAUUCUCUGAACCGUGCGCUAUUAUUUUCGGUUUCAAACACAGCUUUUAAGGGAAUGCUAAAGUGGUACGAAUUAUCAACAUUAUCGAAUUAUUGCAACUCGUCAAAUUGGCUUUAUAAAAUUAUAAUAUCUUUUUACACAAUUGAAAUAUGUUAAAAGAAAGAGCGUAAUAGUAUAUUUUAUAAAAGAAUUAAGCAAAAUGCACUCGUAAAACUGUCACCUGAGGUUAAUUUUAUCUUAAUAGUUGUGUAGCUCGUACGUAUAAAAUGAGAUUUAUGCUGUUAAGAAAGCAGCGAAAACAACACUGUGCAUGUAAAAUAACAAUUGAAUGCCUGAUAAAAAAAAUAUUGACUGAUUCAUUACAUAUGUAUAUUUAGCUUAGCGAAGAUAAACCGUUUUUAGCAGAAACAGUAGUUGUGUCAAAUAGUUGUAAUGAAGAUUUUAAUAAAAUAAAAACUUUCUUUGGUCACGAAUGCAGAAAAGAAAAGUCUGGACGUUUCUCGGUAAGUUAAUCUAGAAAAUAAUAUUUUAAGAAUAAUGAUAGAAAGAAAAAAAUUGUGUUACUAUCUUUAAUAAGAAUUAAAGUUCAAAAGGUACAUUAUUAGAUGAUAAAUAGCAUGUUAAAAUAAAAAACACUUCAACACUUCCUCUAUUUUGAUUUAGCACAAAGUCAUUAAUUUUAUGAAGCAUGGUUUUGGAAAUUUUAUUAACAAAUCUGCAGUCUGUUUUUUUUUCAUCUGUUAAAUAUUGAAGUUUUGUUCUAUGAAUCGUUUACGUGCAUAAUGGUAUCGAAUUUUGAUAUGUUUGCUCCUCUUAUAGAAAUUGGAUCAUCUUGAUUCUUUGUUAAAUAUAUGGCGCUCAUUUAUCACAUAAAAUGGUAGGCUUGUUCGUUAAAAUUUUCUUAUAAAUUCUUAUAAAUCCUUAACCAGACAAAUUGUUUAGCAGUUUCACUAACAGCCACGUAUUUAGUUUAUCCAAUAGUUUCAAAAUUUUAUUUUUUAUUAGCGGUUGCAUUUCAUUAUCCAUAACACGGCACUGUCUGUAGAAUUUUGAGCGUCUUGAAUAUCUGGAAUUUUUUUCAACCAUUUAAAAAUAAUCCUUAAGAUGAACAGGUCUUUUCUCGAUUUUUUUUUAUCUUAGAGUUUCAUAGUAUUCAGCUUUUGUAUUGUCAUUUUUUGGUUUUCCUUUGAUAUCUUUAGUAUUUUCGUAUUUCUUUUCUUUAGUUUUCUCAAAAAAAUUAUUUUUUUUUUGUAUGUCGAUAUUAUUAGGUCAGUCAAAUGAAAACGAAACAGACUGUAUAACGAGCAUGGCACGAACGUUGGUAACCCUUUUCUGUGUUUAUGGACGUGACGACCUCUGUUGGGAAUUAGAGGAAAACGGCACGAAUGUUCAUUGCUGUGUCAUUUGUUUGUUAGACGUGCUCGAAGUGAGGUCAGCGCGUCGUGUGUGCGUCCGACAUCACUAUGGAAAUCUAGAAAGAAGAACAGCGAGGUGUAAUGCGGUUUUUGACUGUGAAAGGGGUGUCAGGAAAUGCAAUUUAAGCCCAAAUAUCUACUGAGUAUGGCAAACACAGUAUGUCACGUGCGCGUGUGUUUGCGUGGAAUAAACGAUUUUCUCGAAUUUACCUCGCUUUUCUUUGAUAUCACUUCGAGCACGUCUAACAAAGUGACACAGCGGUGAACAUUUGCGCCGUUCUCCCCUAUUCCCAAUAGAAGUCACGUCCUCAAAUAGGGUAUAGAAAAGGGUUACCAAUGUCCGUACCAUGUUAUACAGGGUGCGGCGCCAAAAUCCGGACAAACUUCAAUUUGAAAUUUCCGCCGUUUUAUACCAUUGGUAGAUAUCGCGAUUGGCGUUCCAAUAGCUUGACGUAUGUACUAAACCAUUAUAACUUUCGAAACAGCGGCAAUAUCGAAACCAAGUGCGGAGUAUAAUUGAAGACCCGCAAUUAUUGAAAGUGUUCGAAUUAAAAUUAUUUAUAUUACAAAUAUGUUAUUGGACCGAUAGUGUAACAACACAAUGAUAGUAAGAAAGCCUUCAUUGGUCGUAGCUAGGUCUUAAUGCUUUUAUUUUUAUUUAUGUGAUUUUAUAUACUUCUCCGAAUUCAACCAGAAUGUGCGCCGAAUUAAUUUUUGGUCAUAACACAGCAUGUCGAAUAAGAAUUAGUAAUAUCACUAUUUAUGUUGCAUCAAGUAUUAUAUUAAAUUAAUUAAUUAAUUUAAUAUAAUACUAUAUAGCAUGUUCACCAUAAGCUUCUUGAAGUAAUUGGUAUGAUUCAGCAGCAGUUUUCUUCAAAUAAAAACAAAAAAUUAACAUUGUCCGCGAAUGCUCUUUAUUUGGCACAAAUUUUGACAUAUUAAACACAGCAAAACAAUACUAUGCAAACACUUUUUCAAUUUAUUACUUGUGCGCGUUGAUUCUUGUUGAUGACACAACAAAAUGGCAUAUACAUCAAGUCUUUAUACUACACACUGCAUUGGUGCACUAUCUAUUAUUUCAAAUCCGCAUUUCAUACUUGUUUAUCUGGUAGUGUUGCACGUAAAUAUACAUGAGAGCUUAAACUAUGUUACUCCACGAGAAUAUACGAGGUGUAAGUUCUAUUAACGAUUCUAUAAAACUGAGGUCAGAGGCAUGAGCAUGCGUUCUAUGGAGACAUACGGUACGAGUUCCUCUGAGUCGCUCUACAAAAGUACAAGAAAGUGUAUGUCGCAACGCGAGCACGUGUUACGCGGUUGUCAAUGUCUGCACUUGCGGCCGGAUGGGCCAAUGGGUAUGAGGCGCGGCCACAUUAUAAGUAAUAACAGUAGGUUCACUCGGUGUCGGCAUCUUUGAUCUGAUGACUACAAGAUUGCUAUGUUGCUGGUUAUGCGUGGAUUCAAUAGUGUUUGCGAGCGCAGUGGUUUAAAUUAACCUGAGUCGGGUUAAUUAACAUUAUGUUGAAAUCAUCCAAUCAGAACUUAACCGCCAUAGAGCUGGUUGUGUGAUUUGAUCAUGCGCAAAGGACAUCUUUCGGCGCGUUUUAAGCCGGAGUGAACUUACUGUUCUUACUUAUACUGUGGCGCGGCUAUCGGGUAUCGACGCAAGCGGACGUAAGUUGAUAGCGCAUGACGUGGGUUGGCGCGAGCGGCGAUGGGCUAAUGAGCGCAAAACACGGCCAGUGCUUGCAACAAAAUGCACAUUUCGGGUCAAUUCCUGAAACGACGCCCGCUCUCUCCCCACUACUUGAGGUUUGACAGCCGAGUUGGCGAUCGCGCGCGGAGCGCUGUAGCCUCGGGGACGUCGCCAUCUCAAAAAUAUCUUUUUACAUCACCCAUGAGAUACUAUUGUUGAUGCGUUUUUUUACGUGGUUUCCUCGGAAGAUUUAAUCUACUGAAAAUAAAGACAAAUAAAUAUGGCUUAGCAGGAAAGCAAAAUAUAUAUUACAUAUAUAACUAGAAACCAAAAAACAAAAAAACAGGUAAAAGCAA
Molecule: long non-coding RNA, 3692 nt
Organism: Solenopsis invicta (red fire ant)
Lineage: Eukaryota; Metazoa; Arthropoda; Insecta; Hymenoptera; Formicidae
Exons: 2
Source: RefSeq, a predicted model, not a curated record